GCCUGUCCUAUAAUCGAUAAUCCACGAUCAACCUCACCCGCCUUUGCAACAACAGCCUAUAUACCUCCGUCGCCAGCCCGCCUGAAAACAGAAAAAUAGCGGGUGCAACAACUAAUCGUUAAUACGACAGGUCACGGUGUAGCUUAUACGCGGGGCAGAGAUGGGCUACAUUUCUUAAUAUAAUAAAUACCUACCCCGCCAUGAAAUCUGCGGAAAAAGGUGGAUUUAGCAGUAAGUCAGGCAAGAAAGCCUGUCUGAAGCGCGCUCUGAAAUG
RNAcentral lists this ribosomal RNA (274 nucleotides) under Uroplatus henkeli. RNAcentral's name for it is "partial small subunit ribosomal RNA". Lineage: Eukaryota; Metazoa; Chordata; Lepidosauria; Squamata; Gekkonidae. The record is from RNAcentral.